Pongo abelii (Sumatran orangutan) is the source of this 148-nucleotide unclassified non-coding RNA. It matches the Rfam family "Metazoan signal recognition particle RNA". From Rfam's summary of the family: The signal recognition particle (SRP) is a universally conserved ribonucleoprotein. It is involved in the co-translational targeting of proteins to membranes. The record is from Ensembl. Lineage: Eukaryota; Metazoa; Chordata; Mammalia; Primates; Hominidae.
GCCGGGCGUGGUGGCGGGCGCCUGUAAUCCCAGAUACUCGGGAGGCUGAGGCAGGGGAAUCGCUUGAACCCGGGAGACGGAGGUUGCAGUGAGCCGAAAUAGGGCCAUUGCACUCCAUCCUGGGCGACAGAGUGAGACCCUGUCUCAA